UAUUACUAUAGCAGAGAAACUAUUUUCUAUCACAAUAUCUAUUAUCUUCUCCUUCCCCAGUAACAGACUUUGAUUUUAUGUGUAGCAGCCAUGUACCCAGACAAAAGACUUCUUCAUUCUCAGAUAAAGAAGACUUCAUUUUCUCUUACAGCUACUUACAACCAUGUGACUCAGUUCUGCUUAAUGUGAUGUAAGUGGAAACAUUGUAUUGGGCUUCCAGGACCUUUCUUUAAAGAGAAUGGGCCUUCUUUGUCCUUUCAUCCAUUUCACUGCCUGGAGUAGAGGUGAAAUAGCUGGAGCUCUAUCUGCCAGUUUAAACUAUGAGGAAAAGAGAUAUACUUUAAGGAUGGCUGAGAGCUGACACUGUCCUUGGACUUCCUACCUCCAGGGAAAUAAAUUAUUUUAUUCAAGCUUCUCUUAUUUAGGAUUUUUGGGUUAUUUGCAAGUGAACCUGACCCUAAGUAACUCAUCUACUUUUUGUCUACAUGAUGUCUAACUCUACAUGGCGCUUUCAUGUAUAUUAUCCCAUUUUCAACAGAUAGGAGGAUAUCCAUUUUCCUGUUUCUAGGUGGUCCUGAUUCCAGGAGAGUCAGUGAGGGCCAACGGCAACCAUUAGAGAGCCGUUUACCUACCCAGGUUGAAGACCAUGGGAAAACUGGAAAUAUUGGGUUCAGCAGGCAAAAAGGAGAUGCUGUUCUCAGAGUUAAUGACAACUCUAGGGGAAACUCUGCCUCCAUUUUUUGAAGCUAGGCUCUGAUUGUUGGAAACCCAAGCCUUUUUCACUACCUCACUUCCUCAUCUUUGAAAUAGCAUUGGUCUCUGCCAAGAACUUUGAAUAUAAAUAUUGUCUUGUGGAAAUUUUUUUUUCUAAAGCAGAGCCUCACCAAUGUUUUCAUUCCUCACUGAUUGGCUGUUGGACUCAUCCUUAGUGAAAAUUCUUCAGGAGUAGGUAUUGCCCAAAGACAGCUCUUCGGGAGUCCAUCUGCUUUGUGAUAGAGAUGGUAUCUGUGGCUGGAGUAAGAGUCUUAGUACUCUGAUGCCACCUGCUGCACUUCAUGCCAAGGUAGCAACUGGUCCAGGAUCUCCAACAGUUAUUUCUGUCUUGUUCGAUUUCCACCUUCCUCUACUCUCUAGCAUGUCCUUCCUCUACCCCAGCUCCCACACUGGGUUCUCUUCCAAAGUUGGGCAGGCAUUUUUGCCCAGGUCCCCUUCUCCCUCACUCCUCUAAGGAACCCUAGCAGGAUCUGGCUAAUUCUAUCAUGGCCCACCCUGACCCAGCACUUCUUGAAACUGCCUGUUAUACACAAGGAACCCAGCCUGGGCAGGCUCUUCCUUAAGGUGACAUUUUGAUUCACAGCAAGGCACCCUUGGAAGGGGUGAGUUGCGUGUGUCUCAAAGCAGAGACGGCAUCCACAGUGGUCUAAGCAGAACCUUGCUUUCCAAGGGUGGUGAUGAGAGGGGUUAAUGGACUCUGAUGGUUUAAUGGCAAUCAUCGUUUUCUCGUCUAUUAUUCAUAUUUUCACUCUUGGCAGUCCUGUGAGGUAUUUUGUGUGAAUUUUACAGAUAUGCUCUGCGAAGAGGAGAGGGCAGCAAACACUGACAGUGAGCGCCAGGCCUGAGUUAGGGUGUUGCACGCACUGGCUGCCGUCACAGCAGGGGAAGGCAUGCGGCUGUCACGAGUCAGCACUUGGUUCUACUGGAGCCCACUGCGGGCCUGUACAAGCCCAUAGGUCAGAGCAGCUUACUAUAAAUUCGAACCUUGACUGUGUCUUCUGCAGCACAGAGAUGACAGGCCUGGGAUCUAGGCUUGAGCUCACUGGCGCCCCGGGAGGCAGCGGAGUACAGUGGCCGCAGCACAGGCUGUGCAGCCAGGCAGAGCUGCUGGCGGGAUCCUGGCAUCACUGCUCAACAGUCAGGGGACCUUGGCCAAGUCACUGAACUUGCUCUGAUCCUAUAUUCCACAUCUGUAAGGCGGUGAUGAAAACAGUGCUGGUCUUCAACAGUUGCAAUGAUUGAAUGUGAAGGAAGAAAGAACCUGCAUUUCCCUUUCUCAGCUCCUUUCCUGGAUUGGUGUGUGCUAAGUCUCUUGCAGUUGUCAUCAUGUCUUCAGAAUGCCUUUGAUAGGUACAGGAAGUUGUACCAGAGGGAGAUGGAAUCAGCAAUCAAUAAAAAAGAACUAUGUUUCUAAGAAGAAUGCAUCAUGGGCUUCCCACAGGAGUUGUGUACUAUAUGUUCUAAUAUCUGUGGAACAAUGGAUCUAAUUUUUAGUUCUUCUGCUUGGCUUUCCCAGCCAUCUCAGCAAAAAAGAAAAUGGACAUUUUAACCUGCUGCCCAGCUUACUGAUGACUUAUACUAAAGAUUGCUUUACCCUUUAACCCCUUCAUUGUUAUCGCAGAAUAAAAUCUCUCCCUUCUCUUCCUC
Molecule: non-coding RNA, 2421 nt
Organism: Odocoileus virginianus texanus
Lineage: Eukaryota; Metazoa; Chordata; Mammalia; Artiodactyla; Cervidae
Source: RefSeq, a predicted model, not a curated record